AUGACCGGAUCACACAAUGAUACCAACAUGCUUCAACAUUCGCCUGUGUUUGCCAGGCUUGCCGAAGGCAACAGCCUGCCGGUCAAUGUUAACAUCAACGGUCACAAUUACAACAAAGGAUACUACCUAGCUGCUGGAAUCUAUCCUCAAUGGACCACUAUUAUGAAGACAGUCUCCAACCCUGUUGAAGAGAAGAGGAAAAGAUUUGCCCAGGAGCAAGAGAGUGCUAGGAAGGAUGUCGACCAUGCCUUUGGUGUUCUGCAAUCUCGAUGGGGCAUAGUUCGAUAUCCUGCUAGAACUUAG
This 303-nucleotide ribosomal RNA is filed under the name Triticum aestivum (bread wheat). RNAcentral's name for it is "partial small subunit ribosomal RNA". Lineage: Eukaryota; Viridiplantae; Streptophyta; Magnoliopsida; Poales; Poaceae. The record is from RNAcentral.